Molecule: ribosomal RNA, 253 nt
Filed under: uncultured bacterium
Lineage: Bacteria
Description: partial 16S ribosomal RNA
Rfam family: Bacterial small subunit ribosomal RNA
Source: RNAcentral
UACGUAGGUGGCAGGCGUUGUCCGGAUUUAUUGGGUUUAAAGGGUGCGUAGGCGGUCUAUUAAGUCAGUGGUGAAAUAUCGCAGCUUAACUGUGAGGGUGCCAUUGAUACUGAUGGACUUGAGUGAAGUCGAAGUAGGCGGAAUUGACGGUGUAGCGGUGAAAUGCUUAGAUAUCGUCAAGAACACCGAUAGUGAAGACAGCUUACUAGGCUUAUACUGACGCUGAGGCACGAAAGUGUGGGGAUCAAACAGG